AAAAAGACUAUGCCUUUUCUGGAUGAUGUUCCUAUAAAAGGGUGCAGAGAAAGAGACAAGGAUGAAACUUUAGAUACGAGGGGGUGUCGCAGAUAUGUUGUUGAUCAUAUACAAGAUUGUGAAAAGAUUUUAACUCGGCUUGGAGAAGUUCAUCUUACAUUAUCGGAUAUGAAGUCCGUAUUUGGAGUGCGAGAGGUUGU
Molecule: long non-coding RNA, 200 nt
Filed under: Physcomitrium patens
Lineage: Eukaryota; Viridiplantae; Streptophyta; Bryopsida; Funariales; Funariaceae
Description: long non-coding RNA (PPAT_LNC007016)
Source: RNAcentral